ACCUACGGGGCGCAGCAGGGAAUCUUCCACAAUGGGCGAAAGCCUGAUGGAGCAACGCCGCGUGGGUGAAGAAGGUCUUCGGAUCGUAAAACCCUGUUGUUCGAGAAGAAAGUGCGUGAGAGUAACUGUUCACGUUUCGACGGUAUCUAACCAGAAAGCCACGGCUAACUACGUGCCAGCAGCCGCGGUAAUCCGUAGGUGGCAAGCGUUAUCCGGAUUUAUUGGGCGUAAAGGGAACGCAGGCGGUCUUUUAAGUCUGAUGUGAAAGCCUUCGGCUUAACCGGAGUAGUGCAUUGGAAAAUGGG
This 305-nucleotide ribosomal RNA is filed under the name uncultured bacterium. RNAcentral describes it as "bacterial SSU rRNA". It matches the Rfam family "Bacterial small subunit ribosomal RNA", at positions 337 to 637 of the family's 1533-position model. The record is from RNAcentral.